GACAGAGGGGGGCAAGCGUUGCUCGGAAUUACUGGGCGUAAAGGGCGCGUAGGCGGAAUGGCAAGUCGGUCGUGAAAUCCUUCGGCUCAACCGAAGAACGUCGAUCGAAACUGCCGUUCUUGAGGAUUGCAGAGGAGACUGGAAUUCCCGGUGUAGCGGUGAAAUGUGUAGAGAUCGGGAGGAACACCGGUGGCGAAGGCGGGUCUCUGGGCAAUUCCUGACGCUGAGGCGCGAAAGCGUGGGGAGCAAACGGG
RNAcentral lists this ribosomal RNA (254 nucleotides) under uncultured bacterium. Its description in RNAcentral is "partial 16S ribosomal RNA". It matches the Rfam family "Bacterial small subunit ribosomal RNA", at positions 524 to 776 of the family's 1533-position model. The record is from RNAcentral.